RNAcentral lists this ribosomal RNA (484 nucleotides) under uncultured bacterium. RNAcentral describes it as "bacterial SSU rRNA". It matches the Rfam family "Bacterial small subunit ribosomal RNA", at positions 34 to 507 of the family's 1533-position model. The record is from RNAcentral.
CGCUGGCGGCAUGCCUUACACAUGCAAGUCGAACGGCAGCGACGGGAGCUUGCUCCGUGGUGGCGAGUGGACGAACGGGUGAGUAAAGUAUCGGAACAUCGCCCUGAAGGUGGGGAUAACGUAGCGAAAGUUACGCUAAUACCGCAUAUUCUGUGAGCAGGAAAGCAGGGGAUCGCAAGACCUUGCGCUUUAGGAGUGGCCGAUAUCGGAUUAGCUAGUUGGUGAGGUAAAGGCUCACCAAGGCGACGAUCCGUAGCGGGUCUGAGAGGAUGAUCCGCCACACUGGGACUGAGACACGGCCCAGACUCCUACGGGAGGCAGCAGUGGGGAAUUUUGGACAAUGGGCGCAAGCCUGAUCCAGCCAUGCCGCGUGAGUGAAGAAGGCCUUCGGGUUGUAAAGCUCUUUCGGCGGGGAAGAAAUGGCGCUUUCUAAUACAGGGCGUUGAUGACGGUACCCGCAUAAGAAGCACCGGCUAACUACGUG